This 922-nucleotide ribosomal RNA is filed under the name Ensifer meliloti. RNAcentral's name for it is "Sinorhizobium meliloti partial 23S ribosomal RNA". It matches the Rfam family "Bacterial large subunit ribosomal RNA", at positions 2008 to 2925 of the family's 2925-position model. The record is from RNAcentral. Lineage: Bacteria; Pseudomonadati; Pseudomonadota; Alphaproteobacteria; Hyphomicrobiales; Rhizobiaceae.
UCUGGGCACUGUCUCAACGAGAGACUCGGUGAAAUUAUAGUACCUGUGAAGAUGCAGGUUACCCGCGACAGGACGGAAAGACCCCGUGGAGCUUUACUGUAGCCUGAUAUUGAAUUUUGGUACAGCUUGUACAGGAUAGGUAGGAGCCUGAGAAGCCGGAGCGCCAGCUUCGGUGGAGGCGUCGGUGGGAUACUACCCUGGCUGUAUUGAAAUUCUAACCCGCGCCCCUUAUCGGGGCGGGAGACAGUGUCAGGUGGGCAGUUUGACUGGGGCGGUCGCCUCCUAAAAAGUAACGGAGGCGCCCAAAGGUUCCCUCAGAAUGGUUGGAAAUCAUUCGCAGAGUGUAAAGGCACAAGGGAGCUUGACUGCGAGACCUACAAGUCGAGCAGGGACGAAAGUCGGGCUUAGUGAUCCGGUGGUUCCGCAUGGAAGGGCCAUCGCUCAACGGAUAAAAGCUACCCCGGGGAUAACAGGCUUAUCUCCCCCAAGAGUCCACAUCGACGGGGAGGUUUGGCACCUCGAUGUCGGCUCAUCGCAUCCUGGGGCUGUAGUCGGUCCCAAGGGUUGGGCUGUUCGCCCAUUAAAGCGGUACGCGAGCUGGGUUCAGAACGUCGUGAGACAGUUCGGUCCCUAUCCGUCGUGGGCGCAGGAAAUUUGAGAGGAGCUGUCCUUAGUACGAGAGGACCGGGAUGGACGCACCGCUGGUGUACCAGUUGUCUUGCCAAAGGCAUCGCUGGGUAGCUAUGUGCGGAAGGGAUAAGUGCUGAAAGCAUCUAAGCAUGAAGCCCCCCUCGAGAUGAGAUUUCCCAUAGCGUCAAGCUAGUAAGAUCCCUGAAAGAUGAUCAGGUUGAUAGGUCAGAGGUGGAAGCGUGGCGACAUGUGGAGCUGACUGAUACUAAUCGAUCGAGGACUUAACCAAGUU